GCCGAGCAGAUUGGCCAGGGCAAGGCUAUUUGUGAAAAAAAAACAAGCCCCCACCACCCCCAAAAUCCAGACACACACAGCACCACUGAGUAUGGUUGUAAUCUAGAAAAUAGAAUAGCUAACCCGGAGGUUGCUCUGAAUCUGUUAUUUGUUUAUUUGCAGUUGUCGUCAACAUGUCAGCAGCUCCUUCUAGUCAGAAAUAUCCCUGAUUAUUUAUUAGUUAGCUCUCUCUCUCUCUCUCUCACUCACUCGAAUCUGGCACCGAUCACCAAAUGUUCUGUCACUGUUAAUUCAGAAUACAGACUCUCACGUGAAGUGCAGAGCGUUUGGCUCUUUGCGCAUAGAAUAUGGUAUCUGGUGUAUUUAAAGAAAUAUAUAUAUGAAAGGUUGUGUAGAAUUCGCAUCGUCUGAACAGAACGCAGCUGCAAGAGAGAAUUGAGUUAGUAAAAGGUCGACGCUUGAAUCAUACCAGGGAAAUGGGGUGGACAUGAAGCACAAGCCAAGCUAAGGGUCCUUCAGCUAAAUCCUCGAUAGGAUUGCAGCACAGCCAUCCUGUUAGAGGGAUAGAUCUACGCAAGAAGACCUCAACAGACUCUUAUCACAUGUAAGGGCAUCUGUAACAAAAGAAUCUUGAGAUGUUUUAUAAGUUACACUGAAAAUAGGCAGCACAACAUUUAAAUUUUGAAAAUGUUAUCUCUGUCAAAAAUACACACACUUAUUUGAGUCUAGAUUGGUGUGAAACACAAUCUAUGGCAUUUUCUUUCAACAGAGCUUUAGCCUAUUAAUAUAUAUAGAUAAGAGUUGCGAUUCUUCUUAUUUAAGAGCAACAUUUGCAUUUUUAUAGCACUUGUAACAAGCAAAAUAUCCCAAAGUGCUUAAGAUGUGUGUUAUCAAUUCAUAAAAAGGUAGAGAGCCACAGAAUGAGAUAUCAAAUGAUAAACAGCGUGUUCAAAAAGAUAAAUUCCAAGGAAUGACUUAAAGAAGAAUAGCUAGAGGGGAGUGAAUUUAGAAGCAAAUUCCUGAGCAUGGAGUUUUAGCAACUGAAUGUAUACCUAUCAAUAUUGGAGUGAUUAAUAUCAAGGUUGUGCAAGAUGCAAGAAUUGGAAGAAUGUAAACAUUGAAACAUAGAUAAUUGGAGCAGUCGUGGGGCAUUUGGCUCUUUGAGCCUGCUCUGCCAUUCAGUAUGAUCAUGACAGAUCAUCCAAUUUACUUUCUUGUUCCCACUUCCUCCUCAUAUCCUUUGAUAUGAUUGAAGUUUGGAUGUUUAGUGGUGGUUACAAAAAUAGGAAGGGGUGAGGCCAUGGAGAGAUUUGAAAACAAAGGUGCUGAUUUUUAAGUUAUGUUGUUACCAGAAUGAGAACGACUAUAGGUUAGAAAAUCAUUGAUAGGUAAAAUAAAUCAGAUGUGAAUUGACAUAUGUUUUUCCUGUUUCGAAGUUUUUGAUGGACGCAGGUUUAUGUGAGGUGGAAGAUCACUUCCCAGGAUGUGAAUUAUAAUAGUCAAAUCUAGAGGUAACAAAGAAAUGGAGGACGGUUUCAACAGCAGAUGAGAAGAAGCAGAGUAGGAAACCAGCCAAUGCUAGAGGCGAAAGUAGGCAAUCGUGAUGAUGUAGCGUAUAUGUGAUCAGACACUGAGCUCAAGCUCAAAGAUGACAUCAAUAUUGCAAAUGAUCAAGCUUGUUAUGUCUACUUUGUAGCAAGAAAGAAUGGGCAAAGGCAAAGGGAGAAAGUUAUGUUAAAUUAUCUCUUGAUAGAACAGAAUUUUGCUGAAAAGAGAGGCCUGUUGCAAAAGACAAAAAUAGAAAUUGCUGGAAAAGCCAACCUGAAACGUUAACUCCGAUUUCUGUCCACAGAUGCUGGCAGACCUACUGAGCUUUUCCAGCAACUUCUAUUCUUGUUUCUGAUUUACAGCAUCCACCAUUCUUCUGGUUUUUACAUGUUGCCAAAACCUUUAAUCUUGCGCUCAUUAGGAUAUCUCCAAGAGUAACAAUUUUCAAACAAACAUGACAAUUUUGAUGUCAGGACUAAAGGGAUCAAGUUGGCUGGCCAAUCAAGUAGCAUACCCUUUCUCUUGUGGCUUAAAUUGUUGUGAUAAUUUGAAGUUAGGCAUUUUUGCACUUGUCCAAAUUAGCUUCAACAUCAUGCUUCCCUUAUGCUGAUCAUUUAUAAAUCACUGGUUAGGCAUCAGUUUGAAUAUUUUGGCUGAUUCUGCAUCCCACUCCUUUUUAAGAAGGAAGAAUCUGUGAAGGUGAUUUACUAGAAUUAUACCAGAGGUAAGAUACUUCAGUCACAGAGAAAGACAAGAAAAUUUGAGAUUAUUCUCCUAAAGCCGAGAAAGUUAAGAAGAAAAUUGUGAAGGAUUUUGAGAGCAUAUAUCAUGAAAAUGUGUUUUCACUGCCAAUAACCAUUGGACAUAAAUUUAAGAUAAUUAAUCAAAAAUAGAAUAAAAAUCACUUUAUACAGUGUCUUUAAUAUAAGACAUCCCAAGUUGUUUUACAGGAGAAUGAGACCAAGCUGCAUAAGGACUUACUAGGUCAGAUGACCAAAAGCUUGGGCAAAGAGUUUUAAGAAAUAUCUUAGAGGAGGAAUGUGAGCUUAUGAUACAGAGGUGAAGGAAGGUUAUUCCAGAACAUAGGGUCUUAGAUACUGAAGGCUGAACCACCAGUAAUGGAACUCAAGGAUGGUCAAGGGGCCAGAAUUAUUGGAGCACAGAUAUCUGGGACGGUUGUGGGUGGGAGGAGAUUACAAUAAUGAGUGGGGUUGAUAAGAAUAGCGUAUUUUAGAGUGUGUUAUUAUGGCCUUAAAUGCAUUGUCUGAGUCGGUUGAAAGAGUAGUACAAUGAAGAGAGAGCAAGACUAUGGGACCAACUGUACUUUCAAAGAACCACAAACACAAUGAACUGAAUAGACUUUAAGAUCGAGCUGGAUGAACACAGCAGGCCAAGUGGCAUCAGAGGAGCAGGAAAGCUGAUGUUUCGGGUCAAGAGAUAGUAGGAACUGCAGAUGCUGGAGAAUCUGAGAUGACAAGGUGUAGAGCUGGAUGAACGCACACAGCAGGCCAGGCAGCAUCAGAGGAGCAGGAAGGCUGACGUUUCAGGUCUAGAAAUAGUAGGAACUGCAGAUACAAGGUGUAGAGCUGGAUGAACACAGCAGGCCAAGCAGCAUCACAGGAGCAGGAAAGCUGACGUUUUGGGUCUAGAGAUAGUAGGAACUGCAGAUGCUGGAGAAUCUGAGACAACAAGGUGUAGAGCUGGAGGAACACAGCAGGCCAAGCAGCAUCAGAGGAGCAGGAAGGCUGACGUUUCGGGUCUAGACCAUUUUCAGAAAUCUAUAACCUUGUGAUGUAUGGUAUGCCCAGAGAUCAUCAUUUUGUUAUAAUUGCCUUUAUCACAUGGAAAAUUUUAGUGUAUAUGAUGCACAAGUUAUUAUCUGCGCUGUUUACCCUCUCUCCCGUACGAGAAAACUGCGUAGAUAGUUCUGCAUUGAACUGCCUUGCUGGCAGUUAUAUUCUGAGCGAGUUUACAAAGUGGAUUUGAAGAUUUCAGCACCACGAACAGCUACCACGCUGCUGUCGAGCCUUUUCGAAACGGGCUCACAUGCAAACAACAGCGGGCCGGCGGAUCCUAUCUCAGCACGAAUCAACUGUUGGCUCAGUACAGAACGCCAACAAGACAAUAUUAAAAGUUUGCAAAGAUUCAGCUUUGCUGGAAGUAUAGUACUAUCACGUUACUGACAGUAAGGAUAUAUCGGCGUGACUGCAUCUUCUACUGCUGAGUUGCAACCAGAUAGGGAUGACAAGAAUUAAGAAAUGAUUUAUAAUAAAUGAAAAACAGAAUUGUUGGCAUUUGGAAAAAAAAUCUUAAAGUUCACUUUGUAUUCAUUUUGCAUAAAAGCACGGGAGUUUGGUGACUGUCUGGAUUCAUUUGAAAAUAAUUCAUCUUUCAUGCAAGGACCAUCAUCGUUUCCACCCAUUGAGACAUGUUUGUGUUCCAUGCAUUGCGAUCUUUGUUACUGGGAUAUAGGGAUAUACAGCUGGACCCAGGCAUUUCAGCAAAUGAGAGUUAAUAAGGUAGCAUUUCUCAAGAUAUGCUGCGCUGUCCAGGGAAGAAAAACGUCCUGAUGUUGUAUACACAUUAGUAAAAUUGAUUGCAAACCAGCACAGGCAUGUCAGUGUUGUGUGCACCUGUAUGUGCUGUGGGUGUUCCUCUCAACAACACAGUCGGAGAAUAAUGGGGAUUUUUUCUCUUUUUGCAUUCAUGUUUUUGCUUAGCUUUGCUUUAG
Molecule: long non-coding RNA, 4279 nt
Organism: Stegostoma tigrinum
Lineage: Eukaryota; Metazoa; Chordata; Chondrichthyes; Orectolobiformes; Stegostomatidae
Exons: 3
Source: RefSeq, a predicted model, not a curated record